CUUUACUGCAACUUGACGUUGGAACUUGGCUGUAUUUGUGUAGGAUAGGUGGGAGACUUUGAAGCAGGGCCGCCAGGUCUUGCGGAGUCGUCGUUGAAAUACCACCCUGUGCUGACGAGUUUCUAACCGUGUCCGUAAGCCGGACAUGAGACAGCGUCUGGUGGGCAGUUUGACUGGGGCGGUCGCCUCCUAAAAGGUAACGGAGGCAUUCAAAGGUCCCCUCAGCGUGGUCGGUAAUCACGCGCAGAGUGCAAACGCAUAAGGGGGCUUAACUGCGAGACCGACAGGUCGAGCAGGUACGAAAGUAGGAGUUAGUGAUCCCGCGGUUUAGCGUGGAAUUGCCGUUGCUCAAUGGAUAAAAGGUA
This 365-nucleotide ribosomal RNA is filed under the name uncultured organism. RNAcentral describes it as "bacterial LSU rRNA". It matches the Rfam family "Bacterial large subunit ribosomal RNA", at positions 2099 to 2465 of the family's 2925-position model. The record is from RNAcentral.